Molecule: ribosomal RNA, 501 nt
Filed under: uncultured bacterium
Lineage: Bacteria
Description: bacterial SSU rRNA
Rfam family: Bacterial small subunit ribosomal RNA
Source: RNAcentral
ACACUGUACGAGUUUGAUCAUGGCUCAGAUUGAACGCUGGCGGCAGGCUUAACACAUGCAAGUCGAACGGAACCUUCGGGUUUAGUGGCGAACGGGUGAGUAAUACCUAGGAAUCUGCCUAUUAGUGGGGGAUAACGGCUCGAAAGGGUCGCUAAUACCGCAUACGUCCUACGGGAGAAAGAGGGGGAUCUUCGGACCUCUUGCUAAUAGAUGAGCCUAGGCCGGAUUAGCUAGUUGGUAGGGUAAAGGCCUACCAAGGCGACGAUCCGUAGCUGGUCUGAGAGGAUGAUCAGCCACACUGGAACUGAGACACGGUCCAGACUCCUACGGGAGGCAGCAGGUGGGGAAUAUUGGACAAUGGGGGCAACCCUGAUCCAGCCAUGCCGCGUGUGUGAAGAAGGCCUUCGGGUUGUAAAGCACUUUAAGCGAGGAGGAAGGUCUUUGAACUAAUAUUUCAAAGAAUUGACGUUACUCGCAGAAUAAGCACCGGCUAACUCUGUG